Molecule: ribosomal RNA, 444 nt
Filed under: uncultured bacterium
Lineage: Bacteria
Description: bacterial SSU rRNA
Rfam family: Bacterial small subunit ribosomal RNA
Source: RNAcentral
AACGCGAAGAACCUUACCUGGGCUUGAACCGCACAGGACCAGCUUUAGAAAUAGAGCCUUCCCGCAAGGGACCUGUGUAGAGGUGCUGCAUGGCUGUCGUCAGCUCGUGCCGUGAGGUGUUGGGUUAAGUCCCGCAACGAGCGCAACCCUUGUCCUGUGUUGCCACUCCCGUAAGGGAAGCACUCUCAGGAGACCGCCAGCGAUAAGUUGGAGGAAGGUGGGGAUGAUGUCAAGUCAUCAUGGCCUUUAUGUCCAGGGCUACACACGUGCUACAAUGGACGGUACAAAGCGCUGCAAACCCGCGAGGGGGAGCCAAUCGCAAAAAACCGUUCUCAGUUCGGAUCGCAGGCUGCAACUCGCCUGCGUGAAGCUGGAAUCGCUAGUAAUGGUGUAUCAGAACGAUACCGUGAAUACGUUCCCGGGCCUUGUACACACCGCUCGCGA